RNAcentral lists this ribosomal RNA (418 nucleotides) under uncultured eukaryote. RNAcentral describes it as "bacterial SSU rRNA". It matches the Rfam family "Eukaryotic small subunit ribosomal RNA", at positions 592 to 1017 of the family's 1831-position model. The record is from RNAcentral.
CAAUAGCGUAUAUUAAAGUUGUUGCGGUUAAAAAGCUCGUAGUUGGAUCUCAGGAGGACUUCAGUUGGUCGGCCUAACUGGUCAGAACCGUCUGUCUCUUCCUUGUUUCUGAAUCCCGCCCGGAGUUCAUUCUUCGGGUGUGGACUUCAGAUCGUUUACCUUGAAAAAAUUAGAGUGUUCAAAGCAGGCCUACGCUUGAAUACAUUAGCAUGGAAUAAUGGAAUAGGACUUUGGUGCUAUUUUGUUGGUUUAUGGGACCGAAGUAAUGAUUAACAGGGACAGUUGGGGCCGUUUAUAUUUCGUUGUCAGAGGUGAAAUUCUUGGAUUUACGAAAGAUAAACUUCUGCGAAAGCAUUCGGCAAGGAUGUUUUCAUUGAUCAAGAACGAAAGUUAGGGGAUCGAAGACGAUCAGAUACCA